RNAcentral lists this ribosomal RNA (491 nucleotides) under uncultured bacterium. RNAcentral describes it as "partial 16S ribosomal RNA". It matches the Rfam family "Bacterial small subunit ribosomal RNA", at positions 29 to 506 of the family's 1533-position model. The record is from RNAcentral.
AGUGAACGCUGGCGGUAGGCCUAACACAUGCAAGUCGAACGGCAGCACAGUAAGAGCUUGCUCUUACGGGUGGCGAGUGGCGGACGGGUGAGGAAUACAUCGGAAUCUACUUUUUCGUGGGGGAUAACGUAGGGAAACUUACGCUAAUACCGCAUACGACCUACGGGUGAAAGCAGGGGAUCUUCGGACCUUGCGCGAUUGAAUGAGCCGAUGUCGGAUUAGCUAGUUGGCGGGGUAAAGGCCCACCAAGGCGACGAUCCGUAGCUGGUCUGAGAGGAUGAUCAGCCACACUGGAACUGAGAGACGGUCCAGACUCCUACGGGAGGCAGCAGUGGGGAAUAUAGGACAAUGGGCGCAAGCGUGAGCCAGCCAUACCGCGUGGGUGAAGAAGGCCUUCGGGUUGUAAAGCCCUUUUGUUGGGAAAGAAAAGCAGCAGGUUAAUACCCCGCUGUUCUGACGGUACCCAAAGAAUAAGCACCGGCUAACUUCGU